This 402-nucleotide ribosomal RNA is filed under the name uncultured bacterium. RNAcentral's name for it is "bacterial SSU rRNA". It matches the Rfam family "Bacterial small subunit ribosomal RNA", at positions 355 to 774 of the family's 1533-position model. The record is from RNAcentral.
UGGGGAAUAUUGCACAAUGGGGGAAACCCUGAUGCAGCAACGCCGCGUGAGUGAUGACGGCCUUCGGGUUGUAAAGCUCUGUCUUCAGGGACGAUAAUGACGGUACCUGAGGAGGAAGCCACGGCUAACUACGUGCCAGCAGCCGCGGUAAUACGGAGGGAGCUAGCGUUGUUCGGAAUUACUGGGCGUAAAGCGCGCGUAGGCGGUUUUUUAAGUCAGAGGUGAAAGCCCGGGGCUCAACCCCGGAAUUGCCUUUGAAACUGGAAAACUUGAAUCUUGGAGAUGUCAGUGGAAUUCCGAGUGUAGAGGUGAAAUUCGUAGAUAUUCGGAAGAACACCAGUGGCGAAGGCGACUGACUGGACAAGUAUUGACGCUGAGGUGCGAAAGCGUGGGGAGCAAACA